This 366-nucleotide long non-coding RNA is filed under the name Salmo salar (Atlantic salmon). RNAcentral describes it as "lncRNA (ENSSSAG00000090959.1)". Lineage: Eukaryota; Metazoa; Chordata; Actinopteri; Salmoniformes; Salmonidae. The record is from RNAcentral.
AUUUGAGUGGCAGAAUACCUGACCACGGUGACUGACCCAAAAUUAAGGUGUCGCCCAUCUUCCACAUUAUCCACAGGUCCUUACCGGUUUUGACCGUUCUACCUGCCCUGACCCUGAGACUGCCUGCCGUUCUGGACCUUUUGCACCCUCUCUGGAUUACUGACCUCUGCCGGCCUUUGACCUGUCGUUUGCCUGCCCCUGUACUAGAAAUAAACUUGUGUUUCUUUGACACUGUCAUACCUUAAACCUGAUAAGCGACACAUAAUUCCCUCAGAUUACACAGAUCCACAAAGAAUUUGAAAACAAACCCAAUUUUGAUAAACUCCCAUAUCUUUUGGUUGAAAUAGCACAGUGUGCCAUCACAGC